UGGGAUGGCUAGAAGCCAGCUAUGGGGAUUAUUGAUAAAAAUGAGUUAAGAAUAGAUUAGAACAUUUCCCUUGUGAGGUAUAAUGUUUCUCUGUUGACUCUGUUAUUUUCCAUCUUCCAUUAGGCAUUGCAAGCCAGGAUUUUUUAACCCGAUUUUAAAGAAUGCAUAUUCCAUUAGAAUUAUUUUAUUAUAUGCCUGAGUUUCUUGUUAUAGGGUGAGGAACGUUCUUUUUAAAAGGUCUGUUGCUAUUAACUAAUAUAAGCAAGAGGACAAACUUUUCAGGUUUUUGAUUAGGUUUUGAUUUUGUCUGUGGAGAUGUAAAAUUUUCUCUGUCUCUUUUCUCACUACUGCUCUUUGUAUUUAAUAAAUCCAGAUCCUGAGAAGAUUCAAUGGUCUUUGGCCUGUACAGAAAGAUAAAGGGAUGAAAUUAUAUCUGGGGAAGUCAUCUGGAACACGAUAGUGAAAAAAACAUCAUCUGUUCUGAAUGAGGCUUUCACCUACAGGAUGUGUAAGAAAGGUCUAAUAACUAUGGAAAUUAUAUGAAAUCUGUACAGUGCCCUUGGUCACCCUUCUCAUCUGUGUUACAAUGCAUAGCUGCAAGGAAGGAGUGCUAAAAACAACAGCAUUAACCAGCGCUGGUGGUCUGAGCAAGCAGCAUCGAGAAAGGACGGCAGACGGCGAAUGGGAAACUAUUUCAGCCACUUUGUGAUGCCUGACCUUCAGAGCAAGUCAUUAUUCAAAUGUUCUUGUCCUAGGAGAUCUGGUAAAGAAGUAUCAGAUGGGAUCUAUGUGGGAAAUGUAAGCUGAAUGAAGAAAUGAUACAACAUAGAUUUGUAGAAGGUAGAAUUCUGUAUUAUGGCCUUCUCCAAGUCRUCAUCAACCUACACACUUGACUUACUGUGUGGCCCAGCUCAAUGGGGUUGUCCUGACUGGGAUCAUAGGCCUGGACUGGAAUCUCAGCCCUUCGUGGCCAGCCCAGCCACAGUGAAUAAAGUGGAUGCUAACCUGUCUUUGGCCAUAAGUGGAAGCAUUCCCUGAAGGAGGGGAGGCUGCAGAUCCACGAUUCACAGAAGACAUGGCUGCAGCCAGCUCACGCUCACAGCUCUGCAGACCGUUCGCAGGUAGGUGACGCACAGAAUCCGCCUGGAUCUGGUAUUUUUUGGUGCCUUUCUGCUUUCUGUAGUUUCUGUACUGCUUUGCCAUUGCACAGUACAUCUAUAAACAUAACCUGCAGUCACCUUUUGUACUUUCUCAUUUUCUCCCCAAGCAAGUGUGGUCUAGUCUGGACUUUGCAGUAAUCUCUGAUGUACAAGCAAAUCUGUUCCACUGAUGCAGGAAGGGAGUCGUAAGCUCUGUCGACAGGCUGUCCCUGUCGGUAGGAGGAGAUGCCGGGCUCUGCCUUAUGCUCCACGGCAGAGCAAAAUUUUGCGCAGACCAGAGGGACUCCGUUCCUCACUUAACACACGCAGUGUGAUUUCAGAGCCAAAGUGCUUGAAACAAAACCUAUAAUAAGGGGUGGCGGGUAGUGGAAAUGCCUUCCUACCUCUCUGUACGAUGGCACGCAGCACUGCUCUCCUGUCUGGUCAGCUCACGGGCAGGAGCUCCYCAGCGCCUCUCA
Long non-coding RNA from Apteryx rowi (Okarito brown kiwi), 1618 nucleotides. The record is from Ensembl. Lineage: Eukaryota; Metazoa; Chordata; Aves; Apterygiformes; Apterygidae.